Molecule: long non-coding RNA, 296 nt
Filed under: Vitis vinifera (wine grape)
Lineage: Eukaryota; Viridiplantae; Streptophyta; Magnoliopsida; Vitales; Vitaceae
Description: long non-coding RNA (VVIN_LNC002341)
Source: RNAcentral
UCAGUUCAAGCAACCACCACCCCUCCAAAAGCUCCUCUUACCCAACCUGUGAUUUCUUUUGCACCUCUGAAAACUACUGAAGAAGAUAGCAAAAAAGCAGCAGCAGCUGCCGUUGCUGCUAAGCUCGCUGCCUCUACAUCCUCCGCACAGAUGCUUACCUCUGUGCUCUCUUCCCUUGUUGCAGAAGAAGCUGCCUCAAACGGUGGUUUAAAAUCAUCUGGAUUUGCCUCCAUUUUUAGUCCAGAAAAAAGGCCCAGGCUUGAGAAGCCGAUGCCUAUUUCUGAUGGUAACAAUUC